This 1671-nucleotide long non-coding RNA is filed under the name Homo sapiens (human). RNAcentral's name for it is "HSALNT0305661". Lineage: Eukaryota; Metazoa; Chordata; Mammalia; Primates; Hominidae. The record is from RNAcentral.
ACUGACUGUCUUUUUGGACUCAGCCCACUUGCAUCCGAGUGAAUAAACAGCCUUGCUGCUUACACAAAGCCUGUUUAGGUGGUCUUCUAUAUGGACACGCAUGACAAUAUUUACAACAAAUACCAAGGAAGAGCUAAGAGCACAUAGCAUUUCCCAGGCUUAUUAGACUGUGGGAUCAACCUCUUUAAGAAAGCAUUUUGCAGAAUUGUUGUUCACAGGUCAUUCUGCAGUGUGAAGUUUUUUUUGCAAUAAGAUCCUUACUCUAGAGUUAACUUCACUAGGAAGUACACUCUGGGUGUUUACCUUUAGAGCUUCAGUUUCUACAAGAAUUUGGCACCGGUUGGGUCUUGUAGAAAUAUUUACUGCAUGGAGUUGAAAGAAGAGUCUGGACUGGGAGAAGGAUGUAUGGAUAAAGAACAAGAUGCCAGUGUUCUGGGGUAGGUGGAGCAGGUGUUGCUGUCCACAUACCUGAGCCUCAGAACUUCUUCCGGGAUUAUGUGACUCAUAAAUCCAGCAACAAGAACUGACUUUUCCUGGCUGUCAUUUCAGGGUUCUUUUCAGAAAACCAAGCAGCUACUGGAUACUGACCUUAUUCUAAAGGCCAACAGAAGUGGAAUAAGGUGCAAUUUGGAAUUCAAUCAAUAUUGAAGGAUGACGGUGACCUUUGGGAAAUAGGAUUCAGCGAUGUCUUUUUAAAUUCUGUUAUUUGUACAUAACGCACUCUUACAGAUUUUUUAAAAAAUCCAAUUCCACAUGAAAAACUUUUACACUGAAUUUAUUACAUUUUUAAAAAUACAUAAACUCAGACUUUAUUUUUUAUUUUUUCUUAUUUCCCUUGCUGCUGCCUAUAGGAUCUUGCACACUUGUGGCCAGUCACUCUAAAAGCAGCAAGCAUGUCUCAUGGGACUACAAACAGAGAGGCAUGCAUUUGUAUUUUUGUGGUCCUAGGACAUGGGACCAGUGCUCAUGCUGUAGGGGUUUGUGCCCAGGGAGGCUUGAGGAUGCCUGAGAAAAAGUGAUUGGGUGUCUAAACUCCAUGGCAAAAUGUCGCUUCCUAAAUAUGCCAUCUGAGUCCUUGAGAGUUGUAAUUACUCAUGGUGGCAUUCUAGCCCUGUCCUCUUUCAGCCUUAAUAAAAAAAUCAACCAACAAGUAGUGAACAUGAGACCUAAAAUGUGCUCCUUUGCGUUGAUUAUUUCUUGGCAAAUCAUGUUUUAGAAGCUCAUUAGCAGUAUGUUUUAUCAAAGAAAUAAAAGAGUUUCACACUUUCUUUUCUCUCAAUUAUCCUGUGAUAUUUCUAUUUCCUUUUGCUGAUAUCUCAGUGAGUAAAUUUACUCCUGGACAUUAUUUUAACUCAUUUUGAUGCAAACUGACUGAGGGAUAAGUAAUUGUGAAUUACUGAGGUCAAGCAGGAGGUUAUGCAUAUCGCUUUUAAAUGUUACUGACACAUCUACCAUUUUCUUAUGAGAAGUUUAUUGUUGGACCAUGUUUUCUUAGUACUUUUAAUUAAUUUACCAAUUCAAUGUAAGGGUCUUGGGGAGAAAUAUGAAAUAUCCUUCUUAAGAAGUAAAUUUUUGAUUCUUUCCUUUAUAAAGUUCUCAGAAAACAUUGCUCUUUAUAAAUGUUGGCAAGGGGCUAUACACUAGGUUCUUGAAUUUGAACAUUAAGAAAAU